GAGGUAAUACUUUAAAUUAGAAGACCUGGUUUGCAACCAGAUAGUGGCUUAGCUUUACUUCA
This 62-nucleotide transfer RNA is filed under the name Helicella itala. Its description in RNAcentral is "tRNA-Ala". Lineage: Eukaryota; Metazoa; Mollusca; Gastropoda; Stylommatophora; Geomitridae. The record is from RNAcentral.